Molecule: transfer RNA, 59 nt
Filed under: Saccharosydne procerus
Lineage: Eukaryota; Metazoa; Arthropoda; Insecta; Hemiptera; Delphacidae
Description: tRNA-Arg
Source: RNAcentral
AGCAAAGAAGUAAAAUUACAAUUAAUUUCGACUUAAUUUAAAGGAGUAUCCUCAUGCUU